GUUUGCACUCAUCGGGGAAGGGUGAGAACCUUCGACUAAGGUUCGAUUCGAGCGAAAGCGAGAGAACGUUGCUACAGGCAACGGCCCGAAGGGUGAGGAGCGAAGCGACGAAUAAUCCUUCCCCCACCACCA
RNAcentral lists this small RNA (132 nucleotides) under Escherichia coli. Its description in RNAcentral is "RtT sRNA". It matches the Rfam family "RtT RNA". From Rfam's summary of the family: This family represents a bacterial cis-regulatory element known as RtT RNA. The exact function of RtT is unknown although it is thought that it may be involved in changing the cellular response in relation to amino acid starvation. The record is from RNAcentral. Lineage: Bacteria; Pseudomonadati; Pseudomonadota; Gammaproteobacteria; Enterobacterales; Enterobacteriaceae.